Molecule: ribosomal RNA, 821 nt
Filed under: uncultured archaeon
Lineage: Archaea
Description: bacterial SSU rRNA
Rfam family: Archaeal small subunit ribosomal RNA
Source: RNAcentral
GGCCUAAAGCGUUCGUAGCUGGUUUAGUAAAUCUUUUGUGAAAUUGUUUGGCUCAACCAAACAACGUGCAGGGGACACUGCUUUACUUGAGACCGGGAGGAGUUAGGAGUAUUCUUGGGGAACCGGUAAAAUGGGAUAAUCCUAAGAAGACUACCUGUGGCGAAGGCGCCUAACUAGAACGGUUCUGACAGUGAGGAACGAAGGCUAGGGGAGCGAACCGGAUUAGAUACCCGAGUAGUCCUAGCAGUAAACGCUGCGAGCCAGGUGUUGCACAUUCUUUAUGAAUGUGCAGUGUCGUAAUGAAGAUGUUAAGCUCGCCGCCUGGGAAGUAUGGUCGCAAGACUGAAACUUAAAGGAAUUGGCGGGGGAGCACCACAAGGGGUGCGGCGUGCGGUUUAAUCUAACUCAACGCAGAGAAUCUCACCAGAGGCGACGGCAGUAUGAAGGUCAGUCUGAAGGGCUUACCCGACGAGCCGAGAGGUGGUGCAUGGUCGCCGUCAGCUCGUGCCGUAAGGUGUCCUGUUAAGUCAGGUAACGAGCGAGACCUGUACCUACAAUUGCUAGCGACUAACUUGUUAGGAUCGAGCACAAUGUAGGGACUGCCUUGGAAACAAGGAGGAAGGUGCAGGCUACGGUAGGUCUGUAUGCCCCGAAUCUUCUGGGCUACACGCGCGCAACAAUGGUAAGGACAAUGGGUCGCGACUCCGAAAGGAGAAGCUAAUCCUCUAAACCUUAUCUCAGUCCAGAUUGAGGGCUGUAACUCGCCCUCAUAACGCCGGAAUCCCUAGUAAUCCUAUGUCAUCAUCGUGGGGUGAAUAUGU